This 579-nucleotide unclassified non-coding RNA is filed under the name Hevea brasiliensis (rubber tree). The record is from RNAcentral. Lineage: Eukaryota; Viridiplantae; Streptophyta; Magnoliopsida; Malpighiales; Euphorbiaceae.
GCAGGUUUAAGUACUAAGACAUGAGAAGAUAAAACGAGUUUUCAAGAAUACCCAUCAAAUCAUAACAUGGUCACUAAAAUGAUUAUCCAACAGAUGAAAGAAGUCCAAAGGUUAGGCCUGGAUGGGCUUGAUCUUGAAGUGGAGGGAAAUAAGAGAGAACACGAAGCACUUCAAGUCCUGCACGAGGUAGUAGAAGAUCCGAAGCCCCUCGGGAUCCCGGCUACUCUGCACAUCCACCAGCGACCCGAUCUUCGAAGUCGUAAACGAAAUAUGCUCAUUCCCCAUCACGAUCUCCAGCUCCUGCCUCCCGACCCGGUCCGGCUCCGGCCAGUUAGUGUCGUCCUCCUUCAUAAUCUCGGAGUCGGCGAUGAUGCGGCGACACUCGCGGAGGACGGCGGGGGUGAGGAAGACCUCCUUACGGAUCAUUGUGUCGUUCUUGUAGUUGGAAUUGUUGGCGUAGCGGAGCUUGCCGUCGGGGCGGAACUCGAAUUCGAGGAAUUCGUGGCCGAAUUUCCCCUUGUGGCCGACGUAGUAGCGGAGGUAGAACUCGUCUUGCUCGAUCGCCGCCGCCAUUGAUGC